RNAcentral lists this small nucleolar RNA (92 nucleotides) under Nicotiana attenuata. Its description in RNAcentral is "snoRNA SNORD24". It matches the Rfam family "Small nucleolar RNA SNORD24". From Rfam's summary of the family: U24 is a member of the C/D class of snoRNA which contain the C (UGAUGA) and D (CUGA) box motifs. C/D box snoRNAs have been shown to act as methylation guides for a number of RNA targets. U24 is encoded within an intron of the gene for ribosomal protein L7a in mammals, chicken and Fugu. The record is from Rfam by way of RNAcentral. Lineage: Eukaryota; Viridiplantae; Streptophyta; Magnoliopsida; Solanales; Solanaceae.
GGCCGGUGAUGUAACAAGAUAUUUGCUACUCUUGAUGGGGAUUUACUAAGUUCCUAUCUGAUGAUUCCUUAUCCACCAAGAUCUCUGAGGCC